Ribosomal RNA from Lepisosteus oculatus (spotted gar), 116 nucleotides. NCBI's taxonomy places the organism in Eukaryota, Metazoa, Chordata, Actinopteri, Semionotiformes, Lepisosteidae. The record is from Ensembl.
UCCAGCCAUAUCACCCUGCAACUCACAACUGGCAACCCACUGAAGCUAAGCAGGUGUGAGCCUGGUCAGUGCCUGGAUGGAAGACCUCCUGGGAAAAACUAAGGUUGCUGCUGGAA